This 201-nucleotide ribosomal RNA is filed under the name uncultured bacterium. RNAcentral's name for it is "partial 16S ribosomal RNA". It matches the Rfam family "Bacterial small subunit ribosomal RNA", at positions 1300 to 1500 of the family's 1533-position model. The record is from RNAcentral.
GUAGGCUGCAACUCGCCUACAUGAAGUCGGAAUUGCUAGUAAUCGCGGAUCAGCAUGCCGCGGUGAAUACGUUCCCGGGCCUUGUACACACCGCCCGUCACACCAUGGGAGUCGGUAACACCCGAAGCCUGUAGUCUAACCGCAAGGGGGACGCAGUCGAAGGUGGGAUUGAUGACUGGGGUGAAGUCGUAACAAGGUAUC